UGGUAAGAUUUUUUAGAAAAAAAUUUUUAAAGAGAUCUUAGUGGAGGUCAUGAAGGCAUACAAGUGAUGGUGCAAUCAGUUCUUGCGAAGAACAAUCGGCAGUGCACCUGUGAAGAAGGCUGCAGUACCUUGACAAAUUGGGAAGGGCCCUGAUCAAUCCUGUGUAGAUCACCGUUGGAGGGUUUCUACUUUGGAGUCUCAUGGAGGUCUCAAAAUUACUAGUUCAUGGUCUUUAUGA
This 238-nucleotide long non-coding RNA is filed under the name Elaeis guineensis (African oil palm). RNAcentral describes it as "long non-coding RNA (EGUI_LNC044865)". Lineage: Eukaryota; Viridiplantae; Streptophyta; Magnoliopsida; Arecales; Arecaceae. The record is from RNAcentral.